GAGCCAGUGGUGAGACAGUGA
This 21-nucleotide microRNA is filed under the name Macaca fascicularis (crab-eating macaque). RNAcentral's name for it is "microRNA miR-4676-5p". RNAcentral also lists the same sequence under 1 other name. The record is from RNAcentral. Lineage: Eukaryota; Metazoa; Chordata; Mammalia; Primates; Cercopithecidae.